This 634-nucleotide ribosomal RNA is filed under the name Lopescladius sp. MK-2013. RNAcentral describes it as "eukaryotic LSU rRNA". It matches the Rfam family "Eukaryotic large subunit ribosomal RNA", at positions 444 to 949 of the family's 3401-position model. The record is from RNAcentral. Lineage: Eukaryota; Metazoa; Arthropoda; Insecta; Diptera; Chironomidae.
GGAGAAAUUCAAUAUUGUCCUUAACAGACAAUGUGCACUUUUCUCUUAGUAAGACGCUGUGAUCCAUUAGAAAUCGGACCAUUUCAAUGGUUAUUGGGCUGCCAAUAGGUACGGUAUGAAGUUUGAUGGUGCAAAUGGUGCAAUCUUUAACGGUUGUUCGUAUUGCCCGUUGAGCGUAUCCGUWUCCUGAUGUAGCUGUCUGAUGGAUUUUAAAGGCCGUAUUAUCGAUGUCUUGUACAUUGCCCGUUUCGAUGGGAUUGGAUAUGUGCCCGAUCAACAGCGGUUAAAUUUGUGAUACCUUUGGGACCCGUCUUGAAACACGGACCAAGGAGUCUAUCUAGUAUGCAAGUAAAUGGGUAUAUGAAACCUAUUUGCGCAAAAAACUUAACUUUUAUGGGAUUACGUGUCAUUCAUUCGUGAUGAUUCCUCAAUCCCGGGGUAUUUUCAUCAACAUAUACGCAAGUAUAUGGAAAAUAUACCAUGAGCAUACUGGAUAUGACCCGAAAGAUGGUGAACUAUGCCUGAUCAGGUUGAAGUCAGGGGAAACCCUGAUGGAGGACCGAAGCAAUUCUGACGUGCAAAUCGAUUGUCAGAAUUGGGCAUAGGGGCGAAAGACCAAUCGAACCAUCUAGUA